UUUUAAAGGUCAGGAGUUCGAACUUUUGCUUUUCAGAGUAUAUAUAUCAUAUAAUAUCAGGUUAAUUUUAUACAGAUUUUCUGCAAAUAUAGUGAAUUACAAAUGUAUUCAUAUAAAAUUCAACUUUCAUAUAUUAUUUCUGCUAAAGUUCUAAUAUUUUCAUAUAUAUAUAUAUAUAUAUAUAUAUAUAUUCCUCUAGUUUGUUACUCUUAAAGUAGUGUUCAUUUUAUAAGUGUUAAUUAAAGAGGGGUAAAAAGAUCAAUUCAUCUUAUUAACUAACCAACAUCCACCGCAGAUGCAUUGCAAACUA
This 310-nucleotide long non-coding RNA is filed under the name Ananas comosus (pineapple). RNAcentral describes it as "long non-coding RNA (ACOM_LNC012967)". Lineage: Eukaryota; Viridiplantae; Streptophyta; Magnoliopsida; Poales; Bromeliaceae. The record is from RNAcentral.